Molecule: ribosomal RNA, 500 nt
Filed under: uncultured bacterium
Lineage: Bacteria
Description: partial 16S ribosomal RNA
Rfam family: Bacterial small subunit ribosomal RNA
Source: RNAcentral
AUUGAACGCUGGCGGAAUGCUUUACACAUGCAAGUCGAACGGCAGCACGGACUUCGGUCUGGUGGCGAGUGGCGAACGGGUGAGUAAUGUAUCGGAACGUGCCCAGUCGUGGGGGAUAACGUAGUGAAAAUUACGCUAAUACCGAAUAAGAUCUAUGGAUGAAAGCGUGGGAACGCAAGACCUCGCGCGAUUGGAGCGGCCGAUACCAGAUUAGGUAGUUGGUGGGGUAAAGGCCCACCAAGCCAAAGAUCUGUAGCUGGUCUGAGAGGACGACCAGCCACACUGGAACUGAGACACGGUCCAGAUUCCUACGGGAGGCAGCAGUGGGGAAUUUUGGACAAUGGGCGAAAGCCUGAUCCAGCCAUUCCGCGUGCAGGAUGAAGGCCCUCGGGUUGUAAACUGCUUUUGUACAGAACGAAAAGGUUUCUACUAAUACUAGGAGCUCAUGACGGUACUGUAAGAAUCAGCACCGGCUAACUACGUGCCAGCCGCCGCAGUAA